CUGUAACGAUGUCGAUUGGGAGGUUGUGCCCUGAGGCGUGGCUCGGGAGCUAACGCGUUAAAUCGACCGCUGGGGAGUACGGCCGCAAGGUUAAAACUCAAAUGAAUUGACGGGGGCCCGCACAGCGGUGGAGCAUGUGGUUUAAUUCGAUGCAACGCGAAGAACCUUACCUACUCUUGACAUCCAGAGAAUUUAGCAGAGAUGCUUUAGUGCCUUCGGGAACUCUGAGACAGGUGCUGCAUGGCUGUCGUCAGCUCGUGUUGUGAAAUGUUGGGUUAAGUCCCGCAACGAGCGCAACCCUUAUCCUUUGUUGCCAGCGAUUCGGUCGGGAACUCAAAGGAGACUGCCAGUGAUAAACUGGAGGAAGGUGGGGAUGACGUCAAGUCAUCAUGGCCCUUACGAGUAGGGCUACACACGUGCUACAAUGGCGUAUACAAAGAGAAGCGACCUCGCGAGAGCAAGCGGACCUCAUAAAGUACGUCGUAGUCCGGAUUGGAGUCUGCAACUCGACUCCAUGAAGUCGGAAUCGCUAGUAAUCGUAGAUCAGAAUGCUACGGUGAAUACGUUCCCGGGCCUUGUACACACCGCCCGUCACACCAUGGGAGUGGGUUGCAAAAGAAGUAGGUAGCUUAACCUUCGGGAGGGCGCUUACCACUUUGUGAUUCAUGACUGGGGUGAAGUCGUAACAAGGUAACCAAGGGCGAAUUCUG
RNAcentral lists this ribosomal RNA (710 nucleotides) under uncultured Serratia sp. Its description in RNAcentral is "bacterial SSU rRNA". It matches the Rfam family "Bacterial small subunit ribosomal RNA", at positions 800 to 1515 of the family's 1533-position model. The record is from RNAcentral. Lineage: Bacteria; Pseudomonadati; Pseudomonadota; Gammaproteobacteria; Enterobacterales; Yersiniaceae.